RNAcentral lists this ribosomal RNA (402 nucleotides) under uncultured bacterium. RNAcentral's name for it is "bacterial SSU rRNA". It matches the Rfam family "Bacterial small subunit ribosomal RNA", at positions 975 to 1375 of the family's 1533-position model. The record is from RNAcentral.
CAGGCCUUGACAUCCCCCUGAAUGAUGGGUAAUGCCAUCAGCCCUUUUUGGGCAGGGGAGACAGGUGGUGCAUGGUUGUCGUCAGCUCGUGUCGUGAGAUGUUGGGUUAAGUCCCGCAACGAGCGCAACCCCUGUCCUUAGUAGCCAGCACAUUAAGGUGGGCACUCUAGGGAGACAGCCGGGGACAACCCGGAGGAAGGCGGGGAUGACGUCAAAUCAUCAUGCCCCUUAUGGCCUGGGCUACACACGUGCUACAAUGGCGCCUACAAAGUGAAGCAAGCGAGUGAUCGUAAGCAAAACACAGAAAAGGCGUCCCAGUUCGGAUUGUAGUCUGCAACCCGGCUACAUGAAGCUGGAAUCGCUAGUAAUCGCGGAUCAGAAUGCCGCGGUGAAUACGUUCCC